Molecule: ribosomal RNA, 595 nt
Filed under: uncultured bacterium
Lineage: Bacteria
Description: bacterial SSU rRNA
Rfam family: Bacterial small subunit ribosomal RNA
Source: RNAcentral
GCCUACCAAGGCUACGAUCAGUAGGGGUUCUGAGAGGAUUAACCCCCACACUGGUACUGAGACACGGACCAGACUCCUACGGGAGGCAGCAGUGAGGAAUAUUGGUCAAUGGGCGGAAGCCUGAACCAGCCAUCCCGCGUGAAGGAAGACAGCCUUACGGGUUGUGAACUUCUUUUCUGUCAGAAGAAUAAGCUUGUCGAGACGAGUGAUGCCGGUAUGACAGGAAUAAGCAUCGGCUAACUCCGUGCCAGCAGCCGCGGUAAUACGGAGGAUGCAAGCGUUAUCCGGAUUUAUUGGGUUUAAAGGGUGCGCAGGUUGUUUGAUAAGUCAGUGGUGAAAGUCUGUCGCUUAACGGUAGGAUUGCCAUUGAUACUGUUGGACUUGAAUAUGGAUGAGGUAGGCGGAAUGUGUAGUGUAGCGGUGAAAUGCAUAGAUAUUACACAGAACACCGAUUGCGAAGGCAGCUUACUAAUCCAUCAUUGACGCUGAGGCACGAAAGCGUGGGGAUCAAACAGGAUUAGAUACCCUGGUAGUCCACGCCGUAAACGAUGAUCACUCGCUGUUUGCGAUAUACAGUAAGCGGCUAAGCGAAAGC